RNAcentral lists this long non-coding RNA (1345 nucleotides) under Capsicum annuum. RNAcentral describes it as "long non-coding RNA (CANN_LNC021677)". Lineage: Eukaryota; Viridiplantae; Streptophyta; Magnoliopsida; Solanales; Solanaceae. The record is from RNAcentral.
CCUAAAUUUACCUAAACGAGUGGUAAAGAUUGCAUAAAUAAAGAACAUUCCCGUCCAACGCUUCAAAAAUAAAGAUUUCACUAUAAUUAAUAUUUGUACAAUAAUAAAAAUAAAAGAAAAUACAAAUACAAAAAAAUCAAGCUCUUGAAUAUCAUUCCCGAAAACCUGUACAAACACUUAUAAUAAAAAUAUUAAUAACAAAUAAAUAAUUAUAAAAGGACAUUAUAGAUAUAUGUAUUUUAAAAUAUAAUUUUUAUUAAAAAGUGAACUCAGAUAAUUUUUUAAAAAAAUUAUAAAGAUUUCAUUGCUCAAAAUAUUUAUUUUUAUUACGUACUUGUAUACGUAAUAUCCAUCAUUUUAUCUGUGGAGACUUUGAAAAUCCAUGAAAAAUUUCUUCAUCAGCCAUUUGCCAAUUAAAUUAUAAAACUUAUCAACAAAAUAAUAAAGCCAAAGAAAACUAUCAAACCACAUUCACACAGAAGAAAAUUUAUCAAUAUUUAUUGAAAAAGGCUACCCACUGAAGUUGGAAAAAUGCACAACAAUAAUCAAGCAAAAUGAAAGUAAAGUAGUAGCUACCAAAUAAAAUGCACUUAUCUUUUCUUAACAAUCACCAACAACAAAACAAAUGAACUUCACUGGAAACAAAAUUUACGGUCAAAAUCAUUUAAUCAAAAGCAAGAAAAUGAAGGCUGCCAUUAAUAUUGAGAAAAUAAAGCUCAUACAUAAGCUGAAAUUCAGUCCAAUCAAAACACAUAAUAUAAUUGAAGCAAAAAAGGGUAAAGAAUUUCACCGGAGGACUACAAUUUCCAAGCAGAUUUAUGCAAAACAAAACACAUAAUAUACAAAAAUUAAUGAAAGUCAGUCCACCGAACAGUGAAAAUUCAAAGCAAAGGUAGUUGUCGGCGUUGCUUCAACGGCGUUCGCCGGAGCAACGCCUCAAACGUUGAGAAUCCGGCCAGAUCUGGCCCUUUUUUAUGUGACAGUGGCGGCAGUUUAGUGUUCGGGAGAAGGGAGCUCGCCCGCCGGUGACCAAAUCCGGCGAGGCGCGGCACAAUGGAAAAAGGGGAAGGGAAAGAAGGGGAAAGGGAGGCGGGUUGAAGGUUUGGUGGCUGAAACUCGCCAGCCAUCAACUCCGGCGAGCCAGCGGCGAGACGCAGAGCAAGGAGAGGAGGCACGUGGUGGUGGUGGUGGUGAUGGUGAAACUCACCGGAGCUCGGUGGUGGUGAGGCGGCAGUAAGGGCAAAAAAGGGCGUGAGAGAGAUGAGAGGAUCUGAUAUGUUUUUUGUUAGUGUGUGUUUUAAAGUGUUGAAGAAAAAAUAACACCCCUCCCUUCUUUAUUUAUAAU